This is a long non-coding RNA of Meriones unguiculatus (Mongolian gerbil), 1589 nucleotides long. RefSeq lists it as uncharacterized. The transcript has 2 exons. The record is from RefSeq and is a predicted model, not a curated record. Lineage: Eukaryota; Metazoa; Chordata; Mammalia; Rodentia; Muridae.
CGGCCGGCCGCAGGAGCCGGGUGCGCGCGCACGCGCACACGUGCGCAUUAGUGGUCAGCUCCGGGUGGUUUUCGCGGCACGUCUGCAGAGUGGGUGGAGGGGUGGGGGAAAUCAUCGAUCGCUGCAAGCAUGUAGAGUCCUCAGGAUACGAGAGGCCUGGUGCUGCGGCUUCCGCUCUCACACAUCAUCAAGCCUCGGUUGAGAUGGUUCGAAUUAAUGACACUUCUUCAGACAGACUGAGUAGAGGGCACGAUUUCUGUCUUCUUUACGACUGAGCGAAGCUCCAUCGUGAAUGUACAAUGUAACUCCUCCGCCUCUGGUCUGUGUGUGGGCAUCGUUUGACUGAGAAGCGCCCUCAUGGGCUCCUCAUUUGAACACUUGGUACCAGUCGGUGUAGCGGUGUUGGGAGGACAUGAAACCAUUAGGACACGGAGCCUUGUUGGAGGAAAUAUCUCACGGGGGACGGGCUUUGAGCGUUUGUGGCUGCAUCCCGUUUCCAUCCCACGCUCUUUGUUUCCUUCCUGUCAAUAGAGAUGUGAUUUCUCAGCUUCCUGGCCCGGCCACUUGCUGCCAUGCCUCCCUCACCAUCACUCUCUCUCUGGAACCAUAACCCCAAACAAGCUCUUCCUUCUGCAAGUUGCUUUUGGUCAUGAUGUUUCACCGCAGCAACAGGAAAAUCCUACAGCAUCUGCUUAGAGCUCUUGCUCAGCCAAAGAAGCAGUUGGGAGACAGCCAUGGUUUUCUAAAUAUUUACCCAGUGGGAGGUUUGUCUAGACUGUAAAGAACAGCAAAACAAAAGAACCCAAAAUUGAACUGUACAAGCGCAAAUAACCCAACAAGUGGGCAGUGGCCACGAGCAGACUUCCCAAAUGAACACAUACAAACAGCUGAUUAAAUACAUGGAGAACAUGUUCAACACCCUUAGCUACCUGGGAAAUGCAACACCGAGAGUCCAUCUGCCCCUGGCCUAACGGUGAAGUUCAGAAGAUAAAGAGCAUCACGUGCCGGGGAGGGUGCAGGGUUGGGGACAAGCCUUCGAACUCUACUGGCGGGCGUGUAAAUUAAUGCAGUUACCAUGCAGGCUGGCACAGAAACUCCCUCAGGAACCCGAGGAUAGAACUCCCAUACGAUCCAGCCGCACCGCGGGCUGUAUACAGGAAGGCGACCACGUUUGCCUCAGAGACGCCUAUUCACGUUGUUCCCAAUAGCUGAGCUACGGUAUCCGGUAUGAUACAACUUUACUCCGUCUCCGCUGUCAUCAUUUCUGGGAAUGAGCAGAGGAUAGGAGUGACCCUUCGCUCACAUCAUCACCAACACUGGUGUCAUGCUGGUGUUUGCUGAUCUGGUAGAUUACCUCUCUUGGUCCUGUGUCUGCCAAGUACACGACCCGUGCCUGUCUUUUCUCGUACUUGUCAGUCAUCUGUUUGGCUUUGCUUUGUGCUCAUCCAUGCCUGCACGGUUAUCUUCCAUGUAUUUGACAAAUAUACUACUCAACUUGCUAUUGUUAUAUUGAUUUUUGUGGUAGUUUUUACUUUGUAGAACUUCUUGUACAUUCAAAUGGUUAAACUUAUUAAAAAUUUAAACUAAAA